Molecule: ribosomal RNA, 468 nt
Filed under: uncultured bacterium
Lineage: Bacteria
Description: partial 16S ribosomal RNA
Rfam family: Bacterial small subunit ribosomal RNA
Source: RNAcentral
GACGAACGCCGGCGGCGUGCUUAACACAUGCAAGUCGAACGGAAAGGCCCUGCUUUUGUGGGGUGCUCGAGUGGCGAACGGGUGAGUAACACGUGAGUAACCUGCCCUUGACUUUGGGAUAACUUCAGGAAACUGGGGCUAAUACCGGAUAGGAGCUCCUGCUGCAUGGUGGGGGUUGGAAAGUUUCGGCGGUUGGGGAUGGACUCGCGGCUUAUCAGCUUGUUGGUGGGGUAGUGGCUUACCAAGGCUUUGACGGGUAGCCGGCCUGAGAGGGUGACCGGGCACAUUGGGACCGAGACACGGCCCAGACUCCUACGGGGGGCAGCAGGGGGGAAUAUUGCCACAUUGGCGGAAGCCUGAUGCAGCAACGCCGCGGGCGGGAAGACGGCCUUUGGGGUUGAAACCGCUUUCGCCUGUGACGAAGCGUAAGUGACGGUAAUGGGUAAAGAAGCACCGGCUAACUACGUG